RNAcentral lists this transfer RNA (69 nucleotides) under Amphioplus laevis. RNAcentral's name for it is "tRNA-Gly". Lineage: Eukaryota; Metazoa; Echinodermata; Ophiuroidea; Amphilepidida; Amphiuridae. The record is from RNAcentral.
UUUCCUAUUAAUAUAAAGAGUAUAUUUGACUUCCAAUCAGAAAGUUCCCUCAUAGAAGGAAUAGGAAAA